Molecule: ribosomal RNA, 470 nt
Filed under: uncultured Alphaproteobacteria bacterium
Lineage: Bacteria; Pseudomonadati; Pseudomonadota; Alphaproteobacteria
Description: bacterial SSU rRNA
Rfam family: Bacterial small subunit ribosomal RNA
Source: RNAcentral
GAGUUUGAUCCUGGCUCAGAACGAACGCUGGCGGCAUGCCUAACACAUGCAAGUCGAACGAGACCUUCGGGUCUAGUGGCGCACGGGUGCGUAACGCGUGGGAAUCUGCCCUUGGGUACGGAAUAACUCACCGAAAGGUGUGCUAAUACCGUAUGAUGACGUAAGUCCAAAGAUUUAUCGCCUGAGGAUGAGCCCGCGUAGGAUUAGCUAGUUGGUGGGGUAAAGGCCCACCAAGGCGACGAUCCUUAGCUGGUCUGAGAGGAUGAUCAGCCACACUGGGACUGAGACACGGCCCAGACUCCUACGGGAGGCAGCAGUGGGAUAUUGGACAAUGGGCGCGAAGCCUGAUCCAGCGAACUGCCGCGUGAGUGAUGAAGGCCUUAGGGUUGUAAAGCUCUUUUACCCGGAGAUAAUGACUGUACCGGAGAAUAAGCCCCGGCUAACUCCGUGCCAGCAGCCGCCGCAGUAAG